GGAUGGUUGGCUGAGAGGCUGAAAGCAACGGUUUGCUAAACCGUCGGUCGGGAAAACCCCCGGCCCGUGGGUUCGAAUCCCACACCAUCCGCCA
This 94-nucleotide transfer RNA is filed under the name Acidithiobacillus thiooxidans. RNAcentral's name for it is "tRNA-Ser". It matches the Rfam family "tRNA". Rfam says of the family: Transfer RNA (tRNA) molecules are approximately 80 nucleotides in length. The record is from RNAcentral. Lineage: Bacteria; Pseudomonadati; Pseudomonadota; Acidithiobacillia; Acidithiobacillales; Acidithiobacillaceae.